CAAGCGUUAUCCGGAAUUAUUGGGCGUAAAGCGCGCGUAGGCGGUUUUUUAAGUCUGAUGUGAAAGCCCACGGCUCAACCGUGGAGGGUCAUUGGAAACUGGAAAACUUGAGUGCAGAAGAGGAAAGUGGAAUUCCAUGUGUAGCGGUGAAAUGCGCAGAGAUAUGGAGGAACACCAGUGGCGAAGGCGACUUUCUGGUCUGUAACUGACGCUGAUGUGCGAAAGCGUGGGGAUCAAACAGGAUUAGAUACCCUGGUAGUCAAGGGCG
Molecule: ribosomal RNA, 268 nt
Filed under: uncultured Staphylococcus sp.
Lineage: Bacteria; Bacillati; Bacillota; Bacilli; Caryophanales; Staphylococcaceae
Description: partial 16S ribosomal RNA
Rfam family: Bacterial small subunit ribosomal RNA
Source: RNAcentral